Pongo pygmaeus (Bornean orangutan) is the source of this 2381-nucleotide long non-coding RNA. RefSeq lists it as uncharacterized. Lineage: Eukaryota; Metazoa; Chordata; Mammalia; Primates; Hominidae. The transcript is spliced from 5 exons. The record is from RefSeq and is a predicted model, not a curated record.
CCUACGGCCUCCAGGACAGAGGAACCGGGGGAGGCAGGGGGAAAAGGCCGGCCCAGCAAUUCCCCUACACCCCGGUCCCACCUGUACCCUCCUGGCCUGGGUCGUCCCAGCCCACGGGGAGCGGGCGGAGUCCUGGCCCGCGAAGCCUUGUCACCUGGUGGGCGAAUCCGCCAGCGGAGACAUGUCUUUAAAGGGUUUUGGGCCGGGCGCGGUGGCUCGUGCCUGGAAUCCCAGCACUUUGGGAGGCCGAGGCGGUGGAUCACGAGGUCGGGAGUUCAAGACCAGCCUGGCCAAGAAGCUCAUACUGACUAAGGCAGCAGAACAUACAGGAGGAAGAGGAGCAGGUUUCACAGAGGGAAGACAUGAGUUCAAUUUUGGACUUCUCAGUAGUCGGUGUCCUCAGUGGUAGUACCUUCAAAAGGAAGGUGUCAAAAGUCAAAUUCUGGAGAGUUGAGUAUGAAUGGGAGAUGAAGAAAAGGAGGCAGCACUUGUAACCUGCUCUUAAUGUAUUUCUGCACUCUACACUAGCGGCCUAUUACAUAGGACACUUGGAUGUCUCCUAGAUAUCACAAAUUCAGCUUGUUCAAAAAUGAAUUCUUCAAGGUAUAUGGAAAGAUGUGAAGAAGAAAAUAUAGCAAUAAGUUACGUGGCAGUGUAUGAGAGUUCCACUUGUUCUACACCCUCUCCAAUUCUUGAGGUUGUCAAUGUGGUUGGCCAUUCUGGACUCAGGAACGAAAGCGCAGGGAGCAGAGGCUGGACCGUCCUCUGUCAGUUCCCUCGUUCCCCUGGAGUGGAGCUCUGAGCCCUGGGACCAUAGAGUUGGCUGUUACACUGGAAACACUGAUCAGACCUUUGGACUCAGCUGAGCUAAGGCUGGAGAAGCCAAUUGACUCAGAUGAAAUACCCCAGGCAUAAAAUCACAAAAGAGUUUUUGUUAGAUGCUGGUUGGGAGGGAGUGGCUCCAGAGAUCUGGGAAAAGAGCAGGCCGGCUGGCAAUAGAGACAUGAGGGAAAGGCAGGAACUUUGCCUAGAAUGGGGGCCAGGGGUUGCCAGGACCCGCCUUGGUGGGACAGAGAAUUGAGUCAAGAUUCUCAUCUCACCUCCACUAUGAUCCUUUUUUCAUUCCACAGAUAUUCACUGAGUGCAUAGUGUGUGCGCCAGGCCCUGUUCUGGGAGAUGACAGGCAAGGCCACUGACUUCUUGGAGCUCGCCCCCUAACGGUGAAGACAAACAGUGAAUGACUAAGGGAAAAAAAAGAACCCUGACGCUUGGCAUGGUCCAUGGCCCCCUCCACACAGCCAGUUGGCCAGGGAGCCAAGGCAGCCUGUAAACGCUCUGCCUGGAGCUGCUCAUAAACAAAAACAGAGUGAUCCACAAAAGGGCCCCACAGUCUGGCACUGAAUGGAAUCCCACCUUCGGUCCAGCAACUGGAGAAUGAAAGUCCACAUCCUGAUGACUGGUUCUGCACCUGGGGCUUAGAGCACGUAGCAAGGGGCUGAGAAGCAGCCAGCACAUAAUCAGUGACUGAAAUUUCAUCACACAGUCCUCCAUGCCAGGCCCUGUGGGGAAACCAAGACAUGUAAGGCAAGUCCUGCUCUUAGGAAUUUCUAAUCUCAGUACUGAAAAGUUAAUAACAUAAGGACACAGCCUAUCUGUGGUCACACCAUGGCAUGAGCUGUGUGGAUUCCAAGUGCUGAAUGAAGCUGGAAGGGCAGAGGUCACAUCGGGCCAGUAUGUGCUUCUUGGAAGAGGUGGCAUUUGAGUCACUCGAAGAAUGAGCAGGAGAUGAGGGAUGGGAAGGAGAAGGCAUUCCUGGGAUGCCAAGAGCAAAGUGUCACAGUUUUGCAUUGAUCACUGUCAUCCAUGUAAGAGCGAGGACAGCUCAGGCAGGUGGUGAACAUAGAAUGGAGGUGGACACAUAAAUAUGUGGAGAAAGAAGGAAGCCUUUGGGUUAAAAGGCCAAGACUUGACACCUGUGAGGACCUGGAAUCUAACCCUGUGUUUGUCUGUAAACCCAAGGCAAGUCACACUUCUUCCGAGGCAGUUUCUUCACCUGUAAAAUGAAGGGACUGAGCAAGACAGUCUCUAAAGUUCCUAUGGCCAGGUGCAGUGGCUCAUGCCUAUCUUCACAAUACUUUGGGAGGCCGAUGCAGAAGGAUCACUGGAGCUCCCUCAAGACCAGCCUGGGGAACACAGGGAGAACCUUGUCUCUACAAAAAAUUAAAAAUAUUAGCUGGACAUAGUGGCAGGACCUGUGGUUCCAGCUACUUAGGAGGCUGAGGGGGGAGGAUAUUUUGAACCUGGGAGGUCGAGGCUGCAGUGAGCUGUGAUCACACCACUGCACUUCAGCCUGGGCAAUAAAUAAACAAACAAGUAACAAA